This 279-nucleotide ribosomal RNA is filed under the name uncultured Rhodocyclaceae bacterium. RNAcentral's name for it is "partial 16S ribosomal RNA". It matches the Rfam family "Bacterial small subunit ribosomal RNA", at positions 1105 to 1382 of the family's 1533-position model. The record is from RNAcentral. Lineage: Bacteria; Pseudomonadati; Pseudomonadota; Betaproteobacteria; Rhodocyclales; Rhodocyclaceae.
UUACCAUUAAUUGCCAUCAUUCAGUUGGGCACGUUUAAUGGGACUGCCGGUGACAAACCCGGGAGGAAGGUGGGGAUGACGUCAAGUCCUCAUGGCCCUUAUGGGUAGGGCUUCACACGUCAUACAAUGGUCGGUACAGAGGGUUGCCAAGCCGCGAGGUGGAGCUAAUCUCAUAAAGCCGAUCGUAGUCCGGAUCGCAGUCUGCAACUCGACUGCGUGAAGUCGGAAUCGCUAGUAAUCGUGGAUCAGCAUGCCACGGUGAAUACGUUCCCGGGUCUU